Molecule: ribosomal RNA, 226 nt
Filed under: uncultured bacterium
Lineage: Bacteria
Description: partial 16S ribosomal RNA
Rfam family: Bacterial small subunit ribosomal RNA
Source: RNAcentral
GCGUUGCUCGGAAUUACUGGGCGUAAAGGGCGCGUAGGCGGACAUUUAAGUUAGAGGUGCAAGCCCAGGGCUCAACCUUGGAAUAGCCUUUAAUACUGGAUGUCUUGAGUUCGGGAGAGGUGAGUGGAAUGCCGAGUGUAGAGGUGAAAUUCGUAGAUAUUCGGCGGAACACCAGUGGCGAAGGCGACUCACUGGCCCGAUACUGACGCUGAGGCGCGAAAGCGUG